ACGGGAGGCAGCAGUGGGGAAUAUUGCACAAUGGGGGAAGCCCUGAUGCAGCGACGCCGCGUGAGUGAAGAAGUAUUUCGGUAUGUAAAGCUCUAUCAGCAGGGAAGAUAAUGACGGUACCUGACUAAGAAGCCCCGGCUAACUACGUGCCAGCAGCCGCGGUAAUACGUAAGGGGCAAGCGUUAUCCGGAUUUACUGGGUGUAAAGGGAGCGUAGACGGCAUGGCAAGUCUGAUGUGAAAACCCGGGGCUCAACCCCGGGACUGCAUUGGAAACUGUCAGGCUAGAGUGCAGGAGAGGUAAGUGGAAUUCCUAGUGUAGCGGUGAAAUGCGUAGAUAUUAGGAGGAACACCAGUGGCGAAGGCGGCUUACUGGACUGUAACUGACGUUGAGGCUCGAAAGCGUGGGGAGCAAACAGGAUUAGAUACCCUGGUA
Molecule: ribosomal RNA, 434 nt
Filed under: uncultured Clostridium sp.
Lineage: Bacteria; Bacillati; Bacillota; Clostridia; Eubacteriales; Clostridiaceae
Description: partial 16S ribosomal RNA
Rfam family: Bacterial small subunit ribosomal RNA
Source: RNAcentral